CCCUUAGAUGUCCUGGGCCGCACGCGCGCUACACUGACGGAGCCAGCGAGCGUGUCCUUCGCCGAAAGGUGCGGGUAAUCUUGGCAGCCUCCGUCGUGCUGGGGAUAGAUGGUUGCAAUUAUUGAUCUUGAACGAGGAAUUCCUAGUAAGCGCGAGUCACCAGCUCGCGUUGAUUACGUCCCUGCCCUUUGUACACACCGCCCGUCGCUACUACCGAUUGGAUGGCUUAGUGAAAGCUCUGGAUCUCUGCCGGCGCGGUCCUCGCGGGUCGCGUUGGAUGGGGAGAAGUUGUUUAAACUGAGCUCUCUAGAGGAAGUAAAAGUCGUAACA
RNAcentral lists this ribosomal RNA (330 nucleotides) under uncultured eukaryote. RNAcentral describes it as "partial 18S ribosomal RNA". It matches the Rfam family "Eukaryotic small subunit ribosomal RNA", at positions 1470 to 1796 of the family's 1831-position model. The record is from RNAcentral.